UACGUAGGUGGCAAGCGUUAUCCGGAUUUAUUGGGUGUAAAGGGCGUGUAGGCGGGAGCGCAAGUCAGAUGUGAAAACUCAGGGCUCAACCCUGAGCCUGCAUUUGAAACUGUGUUUCUUGAGUGCUGGAGAGGCAAUCGGAAUUCCGUGUGUAGCGGUGAAAUGCGUAGAUAUACGGAGGAACACCAGUGGCGAAGGCGGAUUGCUGGGCCAUUACUGACGCUCAUGCACGAAAGCGUGGGGAGCAAAUAGG
Molecule: ribosomal RNA, 253 nt
Filed under: uncultured Oscillospira sp.
Lineage: Bacteria; Bacillati; Bacillota; Clostridia; Eubacteriales; Oscillospiraceae
Description: partial 16S ribosomal RNA
Rfam family: Bacterial small subunit ribosomal RNA
Source: RNAcentral